CAGAAUGAUCGCUUUCUCUUCUUAAACGGCAUUAUUGCCGAUAAGAUAUAUAUAUACACCUUUGCGUCCAUACAUGUCCCAAACCAUAGACAGGCACAAUUUAUUAUGGGGACUCUAGUCAAACUAUUGGAAGGGUGAUCUGAUCGUUGGAGGCUUUUUUUUUCUCAUAUAUAAUCUUUAUUGAAACACAUAAAAUAAUGCAGCACUCAUGAAUGUAGGCAGUUGGCAGUCUGACUGUUAGCCAUUAACAAUUAACACUUCACAGGAACCGCUUGCUAAACAGGUGUCAUAUGAUACUGAACAGCUAAGGUAGAGGGGAGGGAAGGUAUAAUCUUUUCACAGGUACCUGAACUAAUUGGUGAUACAUUUUGUCUUCCAAGCACAAUUACCCCAUUAUCCUCCGGCUUAUAUGCCAUUCCUCAGUUUACGACCGUGUUAAUACUGCACUCUUGCUCUCCUGUCACUUGUCUCCUCAGGACCUAUCUUAGCUCUUUGGGUUGACUACCUCUUUGUCCGACAGGAGGGCCUCUCCUACCUACGUACCGGUUAGUAUCGACCAUGAAUCUCCC
Non-coding RNA from Pelobates cultripes (western spadefoot toad), 569 nucleotides. The record is from the annotation of a GenBank genome assembly. NCBI's taxonomy places the organism in Eukaryota, Metazoa, Chordata, Amphibia, Anura, Pelobatidae.